CGGGGUGUAGCUCAGCUUGGUAGAGCGCUUCGUUCGGGACGAAGAGGUCGCUGGUUCAAAUCCAGUCACCCCGA
RNAcentral lists this transfer RNA (74 nucleotides) under Planctomycetota bacterium. RNAcentral describes it as "tRNA-Pro". It matches the Rfam family "tRNA". Rfam says of the family: Transfer RNA (tRNA) molecules are approximately 80 nucleotides in length. Their secondary structure includes four short double-helical elements and three loops (D, anti-codon, and T loops). Lineage: Bacteria; Pseudomonadati; Planctomycetota. RNAcentral also lists the same sequence under 1 other name. The record is from RNAcentral.